GAGUUUGAUCCUGGCUCAGAACGAACGCUGGCGGCGUGCCUAAUACAUGCAAGUCGAGCGUGAUCCGGGGGCAACUCCGGUGAAAGCGGCGAACGGGUGAGUAACGCGUAUGCAACCUACCUAUAACAGGGGGAUAACCCGGAGAAAUUCGGACUAAUACCGCAUAAAACAGGGGCUCCGCAUGGAGAUAUUUGUUAAAGAUUUAUCGGUUAUAGAUGGGCAUGCGUUCCAUUAGCCAGUUGGUGAGGUAACGGCUCACCAAAGCAACGAUGGAUAGGGGAACUGAGAGGUUUGUCCCCCACACUGGAACUGAGACACGGACCAGACUCCUACGGGAGGCAGCAGUGAGGAAUAUUGGUCAAUGGGCGAGAGCCUGAACCAGCCAAAUCGCGUGAAGGAAGACUGCCUUAUGGGUUGUAAACUUCUUUUGUACAGGAAUAAAAAGGGGGACGCGUCCCUUAUUGCAUGUACUGUACGAAUAAGCAUCGGCUAACUCCGUGCCAGCAGCCGCGGUAAUACGGAGGAUGCGAGCGUUAUCCGGAUUUAUUGGGUUUAAAGGGUGCGCAGGCGGGCUUUUAAGUCAGCGGUGAAAUCUCGGGGCUUAACUCCGAAACUGCCGUUGAAACUGGGAGUCUUGAGUAUGGAUGAAGUAGGCGGAAUUCGUUGUGUAGCGGUGACAUGCUUAGAUAUAACGAGGAACUCCGAUUGCGUAGGCAGCUUACUAAGCCAUANCUGACGCUCAAGCACGAAAGCGUGGGGAUCAAACAGGAUUAGAUACCCUGGUAGUCCACGCCGUAAACGAUGAUUACUAGUUGUAUGCGAUAUACCGUAUGUGACUAAGCGAAAGCGAUAAGUAAUCCACCUGGGGAGUACGCCGGCAACGGUGAAACUCAAAGGAAUUGACGGGGGCCCGCACAAGCGGAGGAACAUUUGGUUUAAUUCGAUGAUACGCGAGGAACCUUACCCGGGCUCGAACGUAUGUUGAAUAAUAUGGAAACAUGUUAGUCGUAAGACAGCAUACGAGGUGCUGCAUGGUUGUCGUCAGCUCGUGCCGUGAGGUGUCAGGUUAAGUCCUAUAACGAGCGCAACCCUUACCGUUAGUUGCCAGCAAGUAAAGUUGGGGACUCUAACGGAACUGCCUACGCAAGUAGAGAGGAAGGUGGGGAUGACGUCAAAUCAGCACGGCCCUUAUGUCCGGGGCGACACACGUGCUACAAUGGUCGAUACAGAGGGCUGCUACUGCGCGAGCAGAUGCUAAUCUCAAAAAUCGAUCUCAGUUCGGAUCGGAGUCUGUAACUCGACUCCGUGAAGUUGGAUUCGCUAGUAAUCGCACAUCAGCCAUGGUGCGGUGAAUACGUUCCCGGGCCUUGUACACACCGCCCGUCAAGCCAUGGAAGUUGGGGGUACCUAAAGAAUGUAACCGAAAGGAGCGUUCUAGGGUAAACUUGAUAACUGGGGCUAAGUCGUAACAAGGUAACCGUA
Molecule: ribosomal RNA, 1482 nt
Filed under: uncultured Bacteroidota bacterium
Lineage: Bacteria; Pseudomonadati; Bacteroidota
Description: bacterial SSU rRNA
Rfam family: Bacterial small subunit ribosomal RNA
Source: RNAcentral